UGUUCCUACGGGACGCAGCAGUAGGGAAUCUUCCACAAUGGGCGAAAGCCUGAUGGAGCAACGCCGCGUGGGUGAAGAAGGUCUUCGGAUCGUAAAACCCUGUUGUUAGAGAAGAAAGUGCGUGAGAGUAACUGUUCACGUUUCGACGGUAUCUAACCAGAAAGCCACGGCUAACUACGUGCCAGCAGCCGCGGUAAUACGUAGGUGGCAAGCGUUAUCCGGAUUUACUGGGUGUAAAGGGCGUGUAGGCGGGCCUGUAAGUCAGAAGUGAAAUCUGGGGGCUUAACCCCCAAACUGCUUUUGAA
This 305-nucleotide ribosomal RNA is filed under the name uncultured bacterium. Its description in RNAcentral is "bacterial SSU rRNA". It matches the Rfam family "Bacterial small subunit ribosomal RNA", at positions 334 to 631 of the family's 1533-position model. The record is from RNAcentral.